AUACAAUUUAACCCUGGUUGAAGUUGAAAUAUAUCUAAUGAUGCUAUAUACGUUUAUUAUAUUAUGCUAAUCCUUGAGCAUAUAAAUUUGAGGUGGUUGUAGUAGUGAGAUCUAUCGUUAUAAAGAAAUUUAGUGAUGGUUGUUAGAUAGUAGAAGAGGCUAAAGCACAGUGCCAGCAGCCGCGGUUAUACUGUAAUUCUUCUUAUUUCUUUUUUGGUUAAAACUUUUAUUGAAAUUUAAAUAAAAUUGGUUGGUUAAAUAGGUUUUUUUUUGAGAAUACUUCAAUGAUGUGUAAAGUUCCAGUAUAAAGACAGGGAUUAGAUACCCCUUUAUUAGGAUAAAAAAUUUUUGUCCACGGUUUCAAACUGAAAGGGUUUGGCAGCAAACUAAAUUCUUCCGGGGGAAGGUGCUUAUUAAAGAGAUGAUCCGCUUAUUAAUUUACUAUAUCUAGUGUUAGUGUAUAUCCGUUUGUAUAUUCACGCUUAGAGGUCAUAAGUGGGUAAAUAUUAAAUAAUU
Molecule: ribosomal RNA, 516 nt
Filed under: Schistosoma japonicum
Lineage: Eukaryota; Metazoa; Platyhelminthes; Trematoda; Strigeidida; Schistosomatidae
Description: partial small subunit ribosomal RNA
Source: RNAcentral